RNAcentral lists this ribosomal RNA (487 nucleotides) under uncultured bacterium. Its description in RNAcentral is "bacterial SSU rRNA". It matches the Rfam family "Bacterial small subunit ribosomal RNA", at positions 37 to 518 of the family's 1533-position model. The record is from RNAcentral.
UAGCGACAGGCCUAACACAUGCAAGUCAGGGGCAGCACAAGGAGCAACCUGAGGUGGCGACCGGCGCACGGGUGAGUGACACGUAUGCAACCUGCCUGUAAGCGGGGAAUAACCCGUUGAAAGACGGACUAAUACCGCAUAAUACUAAAUUACUGCAUGGUAAUUUAUUUAAACAUUUAUGGCUUACAGAUGGGCAUGCGCAUGAUUAGCUAGUUGGAGAGGUAACGGCUCCCCAAGGCAACGAUCAUUAGGGGUUCUGAGAGGAAGGUCCCCCACACUGGUACUGAGACACGGACCAGACUCCUACGGGAGGCAGCAGUGAGGAAUAUUGGUCAAUGGACGAGAGUCUGAACCAGCCAAGUCGCGUGCAGGAAGAAUGUCCUUAAUGGAUUGUAAACUGCUUUUGCAGGGGAAUAAAGUGCAUCACGUGUGAUGUUUUGUAUGUACUCUGCGAAUAAGGAUCGGCUAACUCCGUGCCAGCAGCAGC